Molecule: long non-coding RNA, 443 nt
Organism: Dreissena polymorpha
Lineage: Eukaryota; Metazoa; Mollusca; Bivalvia; Myida; Dreissenidae
Exons: 3
Source: RefSeq, a predicted model, not a curated record
AACGAAAUGACGUCAUUAUACCAGCGGAGUUUCCAGUUAAAACUCUUUUACAAUGUUAAUAAACGGUGAAUUGAAGCAUACAGUAAAAAGAAAAUGUGUUGGAUUUGGUGAAAUCUGAGAGCACGAAGUCUUUUAGAACAAAUUUGAAGGGACCAUCGCAUAGUGUCGCUCAUUCCAUGCGUAAUCUACUUAAACAUCCCAGUAACGGCCACAUGUGCUGUAGUUCCAUUUUUUCGGGCGCUGGAAAUGCCAUCUUCGUAGACGCGUAGUAGUGCUUAUAGUGCGGGUGUUGUAUAACCUUUUGCACAUAACAGUUGUUGGCAUUUGUUAUGCACAUAGCAUACUAAAAAAGUACAAAUAAAUACCUUGAACAAGAUCAUCGGGAUUUCCUUCUUUAUCAACGCGUGUAUGAAGAUGUCAAGAUAUUUAUUCCGACCAAGAAA